Molecule: ribosomal RNA, 460 nt
Filed under: Aricidea assimilis
Lineage: Eukaryota; Metazoa; Annelida; Polychaeta; Paraonidae
Description: partial large subunit ribosomal RNA
Rfam family: Bacterial large subunit ribosomal RNA
Source: RNAcentral
UUAAACGGCCGCGGUACCCUGACCGUGCUAAGGUAGCAUAAUCCCUUGCCUCCUAAUUAGUGGCUAGAAUGAAUGGAUAAACGAAAAUUAACCUGUCUCGAUAAAUCACCCAAAAAUUAACCUUCAAGUGAAGAGACUUGAAUUAAAAUAAAAGACAAGAAGACCCUGUAGAGCCUCAACUUAAUUCUAGACUUAAAAAUAAAAUACACAAAAUAUCUAAUACCGUUUCAAUUGGGGCGAUUAAGGAACAUCCAAACCUUCCUUCAAAAAAGGCCUAUAAGCCUAAACAAUGAUCCAAUUUAUGACCAAAAACCAAGGCUACCUCAGGGAUAACAGACUAAUCUUUCUUAAGAGCCCAUAUUAACAGAAAGGAUUGGCACCUCGAUGUUGGCUUAGGGUCCCUAUAGGGUGCAGCAGCCCUAAUAGUAGGUUUGUUCAACCUUUAAAACCCUACGUGAUC